GAUGAACGCUGGCGGCGUGCUUAACACAUGCAAGUCGAACGAUGAAGCCCAGCUUGCUGGGUGGAUUAGUGGCGAACGGGUGAGUAACAUGUGAGUAACCUGCCCCUAACUCUGGGAUAAGCCUGGGAAACUGGGUCUAAUACCGGAUAGGAGCGUCCACCGCAUGGUGGGUGUUGGAAAGAUUUAUCGGUUUUGGAUGGACUCGCGGCCUAUCAGCUUGUUGGUGAGGUAAUGGCUCACCAAGGCGACGACGGGUAGCCGGCCUGAGAGGGUGACCGGCCACACUGGGACUGAGACACGGCCCAGACUCCUACGGGAGGCAGCAGUGGGGAAUAUUGCACAAUGGGCGCAAGCCUGAUGCAGCGACGCCGCGUGAGGGAUGACGGCCUUCGGGUUGUAAACCUCUUUCAGUAGGGAAGAAGCGAAAGUGACGGUACCUGCAGAAGAAGCACCGGCUAACUACGUG
Molecule: ribosomal RNA, 466 nt
Filed under: uncultured bacterium
Lineage: Bacteria
Description: partial 16S ribosomal RNA
Rfam family: Bacterial small subunit ribosomal RNA
Source: RNAcentral